GCAAGUCGAACGAUAAGCUAUCUUCGGAUAGUGGACAGUGGCGGACGGGUGAGUAACACGUGGGAACAUACCUUUUGGUACGGAACAACCAUUGGAAACGAUGGCUAAUACCGUAUAAGCCCCCAGAUUAAUUUUUGGGAGGGAAAGAUUUAUCGCCGAAAGAUUGGCCCGCGCUAGAUUAGUUAGUUGGUGAGGUAAAAGCUCACCAAGGCGACGAUCUAUAGCUGGUUUGAGAGGAUGAUC
Molecule: ribosomal RNA, 243 nt
Filed under: uncultured bacterium
Lineage: Bacteria
Description: partial 16S ribosomal RNA
Rfam family: Bacterial small subunit ribosomal RNA
Source: RNAcentral